RNAcentral lists this ribosomal RNA (436 nucleotides) under uncultured bacterium. RNAcentral describes it as "bacterial SSU rRNA". It matches the Rfam family "Bacterial small subunit ribosomal RNA", at positions 1 to 408 of the family's 1533-position model. The record is from RNAcentral.
AUCAGCCGGUACUCGCGAAUGCNCUAGAGUUUUAAGUUUGAUCAUGGCUCAGAGNUCAACGCUGNCGGUAGGCCUAACACAUGCAAGUCGAACGGCAGCACAGGAGAGCUUGCUCUCUGGGUGGCGAGUGGCGGACGGGUGAGGAAUACAUCGGAAUCUACUCUGUCGUGGGGGAUAACGUAGGGAAACUUACGCUAAUACCGCAUACGACCUACGGGUGAAAGCAGGGGAUCUUCGGACCUUGCGCGAUUGAAUGAGCCGAUGUCGGAUUAGCUAGUUGGCGGGGUAAAGGCCCACCAAGGCGACGAUCCGUAGCUGGUCUGAGAGGAUGAUCAGCCACACUGGAACUGAGACACGGUCCAGACUCCUACGGGAGGCAGCAGUGGGGAAUAUUGGACAAUGGGCGCAAGCCUGAUCCAGCCAUACCGGUGGGUAA